AUAAAUACAAUAAACAAAUAAAUAUUAAGUGAAUAAAUAAAAUCAUACUCCAUAGGUGAUACUGGAGGAUAAAUUUGCUGGCUAACUUGAAACGAAAACUUGUCCUUGCUGGAUGUUGCUAACUAAUUGCCUCUAAGCAUGUUAGGUUGCAUUGCUACCAACAUUGCCUCCAAAGUUGCAAGUUAUUACUGUUGAUCAUUUAGGCAUUGCUUUUGGUUAUCAAGUCUUUGCUAUUG
Molecule: long non-coding RNA, 236 nt
Filed under: Durio zibethinus
Lineage: Eukaryota; Viridiplantae; Streptophyta; Magnoliopsida; Malvales; Malvaceae
Description: long non-coding RNA (DZIB_LNC002441)
Source: RNAcentral